AUUGAACGCUGGCGGCAGGCCUAACACAUGCAAGUCGAGCGGAUGAAGGGGGCUUGCUCCUGGAUUCAGCGGCGGACGGGUGAGUAAUGCGCAGGAAUCUACCUCGUAGUGGGGGAUAACGUCUCGAAAGGGGCGCUAAUACCGCAUACGUUCUGAGGAAGAAAGCAGGGGACCUUCGGGCCUUGCGCUAUGAGAUGAGCUUGCGUCCGAUUAGCUAGUUGGUGGGGUAAAGGCCUACCAAGGCGACGAUCGGUAACUGGUCUGAGAGGAUGAUCAGUCACACUGGAACUGAGACACGGUCCAGACUCCUACGGGAGGCAGCAGUGGGGAAUAUUGGACAAUGGGGGCGAACCCUGAUCCAGCCAUGCCGCGUGUGUGAAGAAGGCC
This 387-nucleotide ribosomal RNA is filed under the name uncultured bacterium. RNAcentral's name for it is "bacterial SSU rRNA". It matches the Rfam family "Bacterial small subunit ribosomal RNA", at positions 30 to 416 of the family's 1533-position model. The record is from RNAcentral.